UGGGGAAUAUUGCACAAUGGGGGAAACCCUGAUGCAGCGACGCCGCGUGGAGGAAGAAGGUCUUCGGAUUGUAAACUCCUGUUGUUGGGGAAGAUAAUGACGGUACCCAACAAGGAAGUGACGGCUAACUACGUGCCAGCAGCCGCGGUAAAACGUAGGUCACAAGCGUUGUCCGGAAUUACUGGGUGUAAAGGGAGCGCAGGCGGGAAGACAAGUUGGAAGUGAAAUCCAUGGGCUCAACCCAUGAACUGCUUUCAAAACUGUAGUUCUUGAGUGGAGUAGAGGUAAGCGGAAUUCCGAGUGUAGCGGUGAAAUGCGUAGAUAUUCGGAGGAACACCAGUGGCGAAGGCGGCUUACUGGGCUCUAACUGACGCUGAGGCACGAAAGCAUGGGUAGCAAACAGGAUUAGAUACCCUGGUAGUCCAUGCUGUAAACGAUGAAUGCUAGGUGUGGGGGGACUGACCCCUUCCGUGCCGGAGUUAACACAAUAAGCAUUCCACCUGGGGAGUACGACCGCAAGGUUGAAACUCAAAGGAAUUGACGGGGGCCCGCACAAGCAGUGGAGUAUGUGGUUUAAUUCGAAGCAACGCGAAGAACCUUACCAGGUCUUGACAUCUGGCUAACGAAGUAGAGAUACAUUAGGUGCCCUUCGGGGAAAGCCAAGACAGGUGGUGCAUGGUUGUCGUCAGCUCGUGUCGUGAGAUGUUGGGUUAAGUCCCGCAACGAGCGCAACCCCUGCCGAUAGUUGCUACGCAAGAGCACUCUAUCGGGACCGCUACCGACAAGGUGGAGGAAGGUGGGGACGACGUCAAAUCAUCAUGCCCCUUAUGACCUGGGCUACACACGUACUACAAUGGCCGUUAACAGAGGGAAGCAAGUCCGCGAGGAGGAGCAAACCCCUAAAAACGGUCCCAGUUCAGAUUGUAGGCUGCAACUCGCCUAUAUGAAGUUGGAAUUGCUAGUAAUCGCGGAUCAGCAUGCCGCGGUGAAUACGUUCCC
RNAcentral lists this ribosomal RNA (999 nucleotides) under uncultured bacterium. Its description in RNAcentral is "bacterial SSU rRNA". It matches the Rfam family "Bacterial small subunit ribosomal RNA", at positions 355 to 1375 of the family's 1533-position model. The record is from RNAcentral.